UACAUGGGGUGCAAACGUUGCUCGGAAUUAUUGGGCGUAAAGCGCACGUAGGCGGUUUGUUAAGUCGGAUGUGAAAGCCCUCGGCUUAACUGAGGAAGUGCACCCGAAACUGAGUAGCUAGAGUACGAAAGAGGGUCGCGGAAUUCCCGGUGUAGAGGUGAAAUUCGUAGAUAUCGGGAGGAACGCCGGUGGCGAAGGCGGCGACCUGGGUCGAGACUGACGCUGAGGCGCGAAAGCGUGGGGAGCAAACAGG
Molecule: ribosomal RNA, 253 nt
Filed under: uncultured bacterium
Lineage: Bacteria
Description: partial 16S ribosomal RNA
Rfam family: Bacterial small subunit ribosomal RNA
Source: RNAcentral